This 94-nucleotide transfer RNA is filed under the name Verticillium longisporum. RNAcentral describes it as "Verticillium dahliae var. longisporum tRNA". It matches the Rfam family "tRNA". Rfam says of the family: Transfer RNA (tRNA) molecules are approximately 80 nucleotides in length. Their secondary structure includes four short double-helical elements and three loops (D, anti-codon, and T loops). RNAcentral also lists the same sequence under 1 other name. The record is from Rfam by way of RNAcentral. Lineage: Eukaryota; Fungi; Ascomycota; Sordariomycetes; Glomerellales; Plectosphaerellaceae.
GGCAGCAUGCCAGAGUGGUUAAUGGGUGGGAUUUGAAUACAUUUAUACCUAUCCCAUGGAUUUGUCCGCGCAGGUUCGAACCCUGCUGCUGUCG